Molecule: long non-coding RNA, 705 nt
Organism: Strongylocentrotus purpuratus (purple sea urchin)
Lineage: Eukaryota; Metazoa; Echinodermata; Echinoidea; Camarodonta; Strongylocentrotidae
Exons: 2
Source: RefSeq, a predicted model, not a curated record
GCUAUAGACCGCCAUGUUGUAGCGGUGAGGUGCUAUAGAACGCUGUGUUGAAGCGGUGAGGCGCUAUAGACCGCCGUGUUGUAGCGGUGAGGUGCUAUAGAGCGCUGUGUUGAAGCGGUGAGGUGCUAUAGACUGUCGUGUUGUAGCGGUGAGGUGCUAUAGAACGCUGUGUUGAAGCGUGUGAGGAGUUGCCGUGUCGAGCUAAUGCUCGAUUAACCUUAUUUUUGAUAAUCAGCUCUGCCGUAUGCUGAUCGAGUACCGUGUCUCGUGUCUGUUUUAAUCCCACCGCUAGCCACCAAUGUAACGAAAACGGGUCUCUCACUCUCUGGGUAGCGUCACUUCUUCAGUCAGAACCCGCUCUUUCUCUGUACUCGACGUUCUCACAAAAAAAUAUAUUGUGCAACAGACACUCUCAGAUCAGCUUACAAUCACUUAACUAAAUUAAGUUACCAACACAGGAAAUAAUAUGCACUUACAGAUCAAGUAAUGUUUCCAAGAACUUUAAUAAUCUGAACUUCCAAACAAAUUAAGGCACAACUUCCUUCUUCCGCAGCUCAACACAAAAUUGCCCACAAGAUUAACCCCACGUACACGCAUCGCAGUGCGCGACGUAACCAUAGCGACAUCUACAAUAACAAUAAACAAUUACAAUAACUAACGCCCUCUAAAGGCUAGGUAAUGUAAAUAACGAUUUCGUUACACUAU